GAGAGCGACAGGGCGAUUUUGUCAGUGCGGAGGUCGUGGAUCCUCACCCUGGAAGGCCCAAGAUGAGUGCAGAGAAGGGAAAGGGGAGGAAGGACACCUGCCCUGAGCACGAGUCCACUCUGAGGAAAGGUGAGCUGGGCCUGGCAUCUGACUGCACAGCUGUCCCAGGUAAGUGUGGCGCCCAGCACCGUGGUACUGCUGGCAGUCUAAGAUUCUGUUAAGGGCAGGAGAUAAACCAGCCACACUCAUUUGCAACCCAGAUCCUUACCCGGUUGGGAAAUUAACACUUUUCUGGUAUUUAACUCAACUCCGUCAGUUCAUCAUCCUCUUGCUGAAAUUUGGAAAGGGAGGUGUCAUGGCACCUGGUGGCUCAGUGGAUUAAGCCUCUGCCUUUGGCUCAGGUCAUGAUCCCAGGGUCCUAGGAUCGAGCCCCGCCUUGGAAAGGGAGGUGUCUACGGUUGACCAUGGGGACACUGGUUGCCACUUAUCUGAAGUUUCAAAACAAUGACUUGCUUUGUCAUAAUCUGAAUUUAAGAACCUCUUUAAAAACUACUCUUUACCUAAGUAUAUGCUGAAUUUCUACAUAUGGACAAAUUAGAUAAUGAAACAAAUUUCUCAUCCAGCAGAAAUACCAACACAGUUCCGGAAAUAAGACACACAGCCAAAAUUAAAUGUGGCAAAAUUUCAGUACAGGUGAAUGUAACAGUCUCUGCGCUGUGAGUCAGAAAGGAAAAGACCCUACCACCCCGGACGGGAACUGGACAGACCUAAUGCCAGCCUGUGAAAUGUGGUCCCGACAGGCAAAAAAGACCCCAAGUCAGCUACCUAUGGAUACUUUCUAGAAGAAAGGGAUGUACCAAAAUACUGGCAGAACACACAGGCCAUGCAGAGACGAAUGAAACAGAUUUUCAAAUGUGGAACCAGACCGCCGGCUUGAGACCGAACAUACUUGCUGAGUCUCGGGUGCAGGCAGGAUAAACUCACGUAUAAUCAGGAAGCGCCCUGAAUAGAUCACAAAGUAAAGCUCAACGCAGGCAACACAGGAAGGGUGAACUUCAGGACCAGAAGCUUUACAAUGACGGAGGGGAGAGUUUAGCAAAUAUUUGGUAAAACUGCCUGGGAAAAACAAACAAAAAUCCAACUUACAUGGACCUGGUUUUUGUAGAUUUUAAGUAAUUCUGUUUCUUGCGUCAUAAUGCACUCAGGUUUAAGCUGAUUUUCUUAAGUUUCCAAAUUUGAAGACCUAAGUGAAAUAAACCACUUUCUAGAGCAAUAAGAAUCACCCAAACCGACCGCAAGGAUGGCAAAGGUAACAAUGAGCAGACCGAGAAGGCUGUCAAGGGAGCAAGAGUCCUGCAAACAUGCUAAAUGGGCCCAUCCUGGAGGGAAGAGCCCAGGGGCCAGGCACGCUGCUCCACAGCCAGCAAGGACAGAGGACAGCUGCCCAGGUCUGUCGGUGAAGCCAACAUUCUGUCCUCCCCAAAACUGACGAUGAGAGCAGAGUAUCAAAAACAAUGCUAGAUCGGUGUCAGUACUCAGACCGGAAUAAAAUACAGCAGAACCCCUUGAGGGUGUCCAUUAAUAUACUUCAAGUAACUACAACAAACCAUGGACUGCUGAAAAGAAAUGUGAUGAGAUUUACCUUCUUUCUUUCUUUCUUUAAGAUUUUAUUUAUUUAUUUGACAGAGAGAGAUCACAAGUAGGCAGAGAGG
Molecule: long non-coding RNA, 1712 nt
Organism: Mustela erminea (ermine)
Lineage: Eukaryota; Metazoa; Chordata; Mammalia; Carnivora; Mustelidae
Exons: 3
Source: RefSeq, a predicted model, not a curated record